RNAcentral lists this transfer RNA (40 nucleotides) under Lamprolepis smaragdina. Its description in RNAcentral is "partial tRNA-Cys". The record is from RNAcentral. Lineage: Eukaryota; Metazoa; Chordata; Lepidosauria; Squamata; Scincidae.
AGCCUUGGCACACCUUCGUGUGCGUCUCUAGAUUUGCAUU